CUCCUUCUUCUAGAAGAUUAUAGAUCCAUUCUGGAUAGUAAAUUUCAGUUGGGAUUGCUGAGGUUGGAUCAAUAUUCUUCCUUCCCCCUACCAUCUCAAGCAGCAGCAUUCCAAAACUAUAGACGUCCGACUUAUAGGACACAUUUCCGAAGUUCCUGGAGAACACUUCAGGUGCAAUGUAGCCCAUAGUCCCUCUAGCUAUAGUCAUGGACACUAUGCUUUGAUCCUUAGAACACAACUUGGCCAAACCAAAAUCAGAAAUUUUUGGAGUGAAAUUGUCGUCUAAUAAAACAUUAUGAGGCUUGAUGUCGAAAUGGAGGAUUCGUUGAUCACAUUCCUGAUGAAGAUAAUAAAUUCCCUUGGCUACAGCAAGAGCAAUAUCUUGCAACUUGUCCCAACCAAGAAAACGAUUGUUAUUGUCUGCCGAUGAAAUGAAAUAGUGCAGUGAACCAUUGGCGAAGAACUCAUAAACGAGAGCUCCGUUAAAUCGAUCAGCACAGAAACUAACCAAACGAACCACGUUGACAUGGUGGAUACGUCCCAUCAUUCCAACUUCCUUUAUGAAAUCUUCCCCGUUUCUGUUGGAACUAUUGAGAACUUUUACAGCGACAAAGCAUUCAGAAGAAAGCUUUCCUUUGAAAACAGUUCCAUAGGCUCCUUGGCCUAACUUGUCCUGGAAUUGGUUUGUGAUCCUCUUAAUGUCCGCGUAGGAAUACCUGCUUGGUUUGUGAGCUUUGUAAUCUUCUAAAAACUUGUCAAUCUUUAAUUGGCUCUCCUUUUCUUUUCGAUUAGAACUAUAGACACGAUAGGCUGCAACAACCAGUACUAAUACAGCAAAUGAUCCCAGGGAUGCACCUGCACAUUAAUUAAACAAAUCAUCGAGUAAAUUAUAGUAUUCCCGACAUGGUCUAAAUAGACAUGAAUUCCUUGUUGCACCUGAAAGAAAAUAAUCAGUUAGACAACUCACAUGUUGCCACUAAUUUUCUUGUUGCACCUGAAAACAAAGAAUUGAAAUUAAGUAAAUAGUUUGCAGGGCUAAUUGAGCUCAUAUUCUGGAUGGAAGAAAACAAUGAAUUUCUCAUGACUGUUUGCACGCAGUUAAUUCAAAUCCAUGUCAAAUGUGUUGCAUCUAGUUAUUUGAAAUACAAAACUCAAUAUAUGUAAGUAGAAUAUAUUUCAAUAAAUAUUUUUCUAGAUAAGUAGAAUAUAUAUGUAAAACGAAAUCAACACUAAAUAUAUAUGCAGCCUUACUGGCUUUCUUCAAGUAAACGCAUUCAAUUUCUGCGUACCCGGCGGCGUACAAUUCUACAACUGUUGCCUUCCGCUUCACAUUCUGCACAAUUUGGUUUAUCCCAUUUGAAAAGAGGAUCACCAUUCGCGCCCGCACUUGGAACCGACAAAACAUCGUACAUCUUUGUACAGGACUCGAGGGCCAGCGAGUCCCAAAGAAAAUAGUCAGAUGAAAGGGCAUACACUCUGUAGCCAGGGCCACCUAUGCAGGGAACUGGUGUGUCUAAUUCUCUUUCAACAGGACAGUGGAAUAAGGUAUAGUUUCUGGUAAAAAAGGGGAGGAAGUAGAAUUGAGAGGCUGUCAAUGGCAUGUUGAUGUUGUCAACUUCUAAAGGCUUUAGUAGCAGGCAAUUAUACGGUUUAUGGACUUGGACUUCCUGAUUUUUGUAAUCUAUGCGUUUCACCAAGAAUUUCAUCACUACCACUCGGUGCUCCUGUCCGCCGUCACCCUCAUUCGCAUGGCAAUCAGUUGGCCGACCACAGUGAUGUCUGCGGUGAAACGGGAAAUGGAUAGCCUUGCCAUGAUUGCCGCAUUCGGACUCCGUGCACGUAUACGCAUUUUGGGUUGCUCUGAGAAUUGUAAACAAAGCAAUUAAGAAUAUGCGAGGCCAAGAGAUAUCGAGCUCUUGCUGCUGCAUUUCUGAGGUUUUUCCCAUGGAUUUCUUCUAAGCAAUGGUAGGUCUAUGUAAAUAGAGAGUAUUUUUUAUUAAGUUCAGCUUCACGGAAGAUGUUCUUACAAAAACUAACAACCAAAGAUUCAAUUAAUUACACAAGAAUUACUCGGAAAGCAAGCACAACUGCAGUUUCAUCGAAGGUGCUCUUACAAAAACUAAUUAUUGUUCAACACAAAAGACUUUGUAGAGCACUUGACCAUAAAAAAGCAAUUGAUCGAUCGGGUCUCAAUCAAAGACUCAUUCACAAUUAAUUAUUGUUGUGUCCUGUCCUGUCCUCUGUGUGGUUCCAUUCACGGUUACCUCAAGGACCGCGUCUAAAAAAUGCGACUUUAUAUGGAAUUUAUGUCACCUUAUAUUUUUGCACAUUACUUUAUAAUAUUAGCACGAAAAUUAGCAUUAAAUUGUAAACGAGCAGAGAAUCUAUGAAGAGUUUCAUUUCGAGAGAGUCUCAUUAGACCAUCUCCAAAGGAGAUGUAAAAAAUGUCACUAGACAUAUAAUAGUAACAAAUGACGUACCAGUUACUCCAACCGAGAUAUCAAAGCUAAAAUGGAAAAUAUGGCUAGCUGUAGACAAAGAUAUGUCAAAUUUGAAGUUGCCUUCAAAUAUGGUUUUUGUUAUUUUCAAAGGCAUUCUUCUUGUCUCACCUUUUUUUUUUUUUAGUACAUCGAUACUUUUACACUAGGGAGAUGAGGAGUUCGGUUAAGCCACACAAUGGGCAGCCUAAUUUGGUAUCGAAUUCGUCAUCCACGAGAUUCUAAGACUUCUCACUUCUAAGUAAAGAGGAAUACCACAAAACCGUAAUACUGAAUAGCUACUUGUCUUACCUUAAAUGUUAGCAUAUUUAAAUAUUAUUUUAUUAUUUUAAACCGAUAACAACUCAACUUUCAUUAUUUUUGUUUAAAAAAACAUAAAUGAAGUAAUAAAUUUUGGCAUAUUAGGUGGAAGAAAAAUAUUAACAAUAUGUCAAAUUAUCAAGUCAACCAUCAAAUUAAAAUUUAAUAUUUUAAAUUUGACAUUUUUUUUUGAGAAAUGCUUUCUCAUUAUUUAUUGUUUUGGUAAAAUACCUAGUUCCACAGCGGAAAUUACCUUUUCUGUUGUAAAAUCGAUGGUGUGUGCAGUGGAAUAAACAAAUAAGACACAAUAUUUACGAGGUUCCUCUACAGUCAGUGUGACUGGAGUACGUCCUCGGGGCAGCAGCAAUGCUUUUAUUUAUAAUCUGAAGUAAUAAGAUUACAAAGAUAACUCCCCUCUCUCUUUUCUCCCUUUCUGCCGUGAGCCUUGUGGCUUCUCACUUCUUCCUCUCUUCUUCCUUUUAUCACCACAUUUUAAACACUUGUAAUGCUCUAUUUAUAGAGCAAACAUUUUGAAAGCAAACAAAACACUAUUAAACUUUUGAAAGGUUUACUAUAUGCAUGUGGGCAUACAUACCCACUAUUUACAACACUCCCCCUUGGAUACCCACAUAAGUCUUUAAUUAACUUGUUAAAAUCUUGAUCUGUUUUUAAUGCUCCCCUUGAUAAGUAUCUCCCCCUAAUUUCAAAUCAUUUAGGCUGAUCGUUGAUCAUUCUGUUUCAGUCUCUUAGUAAGAAGAGUUGCCGAAAGAGGUGCUUUACUUGUUGUUAACUUUCCACGGGCUUGUUCUAGAACUAGGCUGGAGGGUCUUCUACUAGACUUCCUACAAAGGUCUGAAUUUACUUCUUUUAUCUGGAGCUAAAUUUAAUUCAAGGGUGGUGGACACUUGAUCUUGAAUCAAACUUGUGAUUUCUUCAAGGACCUUCGAGACUUGAUCUUGAAUGAAGUUGUACCGUGGGGAGCUUCACAUGGCAAGUGAUCUUCGGCUUUGUCGGGGAUGAAUCAGCACAUGUUUAUUGCGCUUGUCUCCACAUACUUCAAUGUAUCAUUUUCACUUGCCUUACUUGUUCCCCUUGCUUAAGUAGUAUUUUCCCUGGUUUUCCCCAUGCAUGUGUGGCAUAUUCUCCUAUAGUAUUUGCUCUCUGAUGCAGGAGUGGAAUGCAACCCUUACAUUUGGAUGGUUCAUCACUUCUUGGUGACUGGAGACCCAACUCCAACAACAGUUGAAGAUGACUACUCGAGAGCAAUACUAGGUAAGCAAUCAGGAAAGGUUACAGGCAGUCAGUUCCUUACCGGAAGUUUGAAUGGAGGUUCCGACAUAUUGCUUUCUUUAUCCUUGUCUUUGCAGGUAAGAACAAGGACAAAGGAAAGGACAGGGAGAUUGCAUGAUAUGAGAUACUUUUGCUCUCAUCCCUGAUGAUAUGAGAUAUUCUUGCUCUGGUGUGACUUGUUUUAAAGAGGUAUUCUCGGAGAGGAAGAAAAUUGAGUAUUUCGAGAUGCUGUGUUGAAAAUGUAUUCUCGGAGAUGAGGAAGAGUUGGACAUUCUUGCAAGUCUGCCUUGUUAUGGAGAACGGAGGUCAACAUAUAUAGAGAUUUCCCCAAUAGCAGGUAGUGGUGUGGAUGUGGCUUUGUCAUCCACGCUUGUUGGCAACAUUGUUCUAGUUGGAAUAGUAAGAUUUACACGUUUUCAACUUUGUCAAAGAUCUUUGACAAAGUUGCACGCGAUAUCAAAAAAGGCUGAGAUUGCAUUUGAAAAUGCCAACGAACUUUAUUCAGGAAAAUCUGGUUUUUGAAAUUCGGAAAGUGGUGCCUCUUCGAUCUCUGAACAAGUGGCUCUGCUACCUCUUCUUUUAUAAAGACAUCAAUUGUGUUCAAGAGUAUAAAGUUGCUGCCUGUAGAAAUUUUCCCCUUCUUGCACUUCUGAAAUUUUAUUUGACCUCAUUUUUCCUUCAUCAUUUCUGAAAAUGACUUGCCCAUCUAACAUUUGCUUAGAUUUGAGUCUUAGGAGUGAUACGGACGAGCAUCGUCAAGAUAAUAUAUGGCGUCCGUCCUUCUUAUCUUCUAAUGGUCCUCUUAUAAUUGGGGACUCUGUGGUGAAAAAUAGCAUAACCGUUAUUGUGGUAGCUAGGAAUCUUCUCACUCCAAAGGAUAACAGAAUCCUUUUAAAACGGUCUAAUGAGUUGGCCGUUCAAGACUCCUUGGCUCUCAGUGUUCAGUGUGCUGGCUUUGUUUCCAAUAUGGGGCAACGCCUACUUGCUCAAACUCACCAAGUUGAAUCAUUGAUGGCUGAGGUGGCAAGUCUUAAACAAGAGAUCUGAGGGCUCAAGCAUGAGAAUAGAGUGUUACACGUGCUUGCAAAUAAUUACUCGACGAACAUGAAAAGAAAGCUAGACUAGCUGCAAGAAUCCGAAAGUCGGAUUCAAAGUGAUCACCAGAGGUUCGUUGCUAGAUUCUAAAAGCAACUGAUGCAUUCCCCUUCUGGUGUUUUGCCAAGUACUGGGGUGCCACAUGAUCAAUCUCUAAUGCCUUCUCCUUCUAGGGUACUUUCGAGUAUUGAGGCUUCACAUAAGCAACCUUUGUGAAUGCUUCAUCCUGGUUGUUUGUUUUAACUCAUGUGUAUGUAUAUAUCUGUAAUUUCUCGGAGAUAUUAAUAGAUAAGCUUUAUUUCAUUCAGUGUAUUGUGCUAAAUACAAUAAAGCAUAUACUUCACCAAGAUGUGGUACUUCUGGACCAAAUAUCAAUUUAUCUUUACCCUCACGAAGAUAAAUGAUCUUUCUUAGUGUCUACAUCAUUUGAGUAUUCAACUCAUAAUCUUCAAUCCAUGGUUCUUUUAAUAUUAUAAACAUCAUGGAUAAGAUUCGUGUUGGUAAAUUGUUCGAUCUGCAGUCCGAGACAAUAUUUCUCUCAACACUUUAUAAUCUUUCUUGACUCUUUAGGAGUCUCAAUUUAAUAUCAUCAACUCUUCAGGAAUUCUAAUUUAAUGUCAUUAACUUUUGCAAGAGAUUUUAGUAUGUUGCAACAAUAUCAUAAUGAUAGUACUCACUAAGGAAAUUUAUAUCAUCCAUUAGUAUUGAGUACAUAAUUCAUGUUUUACCCUUCCGGGGCUUACUUCAAGCAAUUUGAAUCAUUCAAGGAUUUUCUACACUUCAUGACAUAUUUUUCUUUGGAAUUUGUACAAAGCAACUUGCUCCCAUGUAUAAUUGGGGGAUUUACUUAUAGAGAUAUGAUGUGGCUGACUCACAACCCUUCGUAUAUAAUUCUCCAUUCAUAUGAACUUGUUUACAAGAGUAUAAUUUCAGAUUUCAAUUAGUAACCUUGUGUCAUAUCAUAUGAGUGUAUUUCACUGUAUUACAAAUGCCCAAUGUAACCUCCUUAGUUCAACAUCUUUUAGCUAUUUGUAUUUCAAGUAUAUAGGUCCAUUUUUCCACGUUCUUACAAAAUUGUAAUGGAAUUGCCUUUCUCCAUUUUGGCCAAUAAUUUUGUUGACGAAAAAGAAUGAGACUCAAUAUCAACACAACUCAUUGAUGAAUUUAGUAGCUACUUGUAAAAACCAAAAUUACCAUUGGUUAUCAUCAAUCCGUGAUCCCAUAUUCUCAUGUGCAUGCGCAUGCAUAAAAACUUUUUAUUUCUUUUUGGAUAUCCAUUGCCUCUUCAAGGGCACAUAACCUCUUCUUGAGCGUUAUAGAGCUUGGAUUUUAAUCUUCACUUUUGGGAGUUGAGUCAUUGGAACCUAUAUGUCUAUCAUACUCCAUGCAUGAGACAUCAACAUUCCUAUGUCCGCGGAUUGUCCUUUCUAGGAUGUAUAUCCAUGCGGCGAUUGUCAUACUUCUAACAUGUAACAGUUAUGUUUCGGGAAUGCAAUAAUUCAGUAAUGCCAUAUUCUUCUUCUUUCGAAUGAAUGAACCUUUUGAGUCUAAGGGUCUGCCACGCUUCAGGCGUGCAACAGAUAAAUCAUUUACUGCACCAUAAUUUUGUCCAACAGGGACAUUAAUUCUUGUAGGCACAUUUGUAGCAAGUAUAUGUGAUUUCAUCACUUUCGUUGCAUCAUUAAGUUGUUCUUACUUUAUUUUCUCAUUGAUUGCUUUGUGAAUCAAAAUAAGACAAAGUCUCUUUGUUCUUCUGGAAUGAUUUUUUCUCAUCAUUCUUCUGGAAUGAUAUUUUCUCAUCGUUCUUUUGGAAUGAUGUUAUUUUCUCCCCAUAAUGGCGGGAAAACUGUCUUAUCAAAAUCAUAGUCUGCAAAUAAUGUGGUAAAUAUAUCCCCAGUCAAGGGUUCCAAAUGUUGAAUGAUAAAUGAUGUUCAACAUCAAUGCCUAAUCGGCGAUGAUGCCUCAUUUCAAUACAUUAUGGCAAUGCAAUAGGCACAUAGAUAACACAAUAAAAAACUCGUAAAUGUGUAAUAUUUGGCUGGUGCUUAAACACGAGUUGUACUGAGAGAUAUCGAUGGUUGGUAACUGGUCUCAACCAAACUUAAUAGUGAAUUAUGUAAAAUGGCAUGUCCACAUGUAGAAAAACUUGCAAUUUCGUUUUCAUGAGCAGAGCACGGGUAAUCAAUUUCAUCCGAUUAAUAAAUGCUUCUGCUAAAUCAUUUUGAGUAUGAACAUGAGGAACAUUGUGUUCAACAUCAAUGCCCAAUGACAUGCAAUAAUCAUCAAAAUUUCGAGAUGUAAACUCUCCAGCGAAUAUACAUUAUAUCAUCAUUUACAUACAUCAAGGAACUUCUGGUCCUUAUUUAAUAGCCUAUGGAUUGAGAUUCUCAUGGCCUUUAUUACAAUUAAGUUGAGGCACUGCAACAUUUCAAACUUAAGGUACUUAUCAAGAAACUUCAUGUCCGAUCUUGAGGAUCUAGUGACUUCAUGCCUGAUCUUUUUACAUGAUGGAACUUCGGGUCCAAUCAUUUUAUGUGAUGAGGAUCAAGAAACUUCAGGUUCUGAUUUGAUCAAGGAACUUGAUUUGAUCAAGGAACUUCAGGUCCAGUAUGUACUCAUCGUAACAAAAAUAAGUACAAUAAAUAAAUUAAAGCAAUAGGCGGUAAUUCUGGCCAUGGUAAAUAAAUUGUUUUUAAGUAAAUAAAGUUUGUGACAAGGGCUUUGAUUUAGCACCAUUUACAUAAAUAUCAAAGCCUUAAAGAAAAGGAUAAUAAUUUUACCCAAUGUAAAUAAAUUGCUUUAAAUAAAUAGAACUUGUGAAAUGAUUUUAAGCCAACACUAUUUACAUAAAUAAAUAAUAUAAGAACCUUUUAUUUUGCCACUUCCUUUUGUCCCUUUUUGUUAAUUAAUUUUUUUUUUCUUUCUGUCGGCACCAAGCUUCAAAACUUUUUCUUUUCUCACAUGCUGCACAAUUCCAAAAAAACAACUUUGCCUUUUGUUUUCUUUCACAUGGUGCAACAUACCUUUUCAAGGCUUUGGCCCCAUUUCCCUUUUUAUUUUUGUUUUCACAAUUCUGAAGUCAUUUUGGUUACCCAGGAAAUAAUAGUAACAAUAAGUACCAAUUGGUGUUCCUCCUCCGUGAGUUUCGAAAAAGUCGAAACGGUUCCCAUAAGUUUUGGAGUCAAGAGUGUCUACAACUUAUGAGAAGAUCACCGUUAGAUUUAGCUCAAACUUUAGUAUGAUAUGGAUAAGAGGAUAUUGAACAACGUUUGUGAAGAAACAAUUUCAAUCUGAGCUACCGAAAUGGAGUUUUGGUACUCAUAAGGUGGCUGUCCAGUUUUCUGCUGAAAUUAGAAACUGGUUUGGUAUUUCAGAUAUCUGCGACGAUCGCACAGUUAAAAUUUUCUGAAAUUUUGAUAUGUUGUAAAUACUGAGCAGACGAACAACUUUCAAGAAGAAAGUAUUUCAAUCCGAGGUCCGCAAGUUGGAGUUCUGAGGCUAUUUAUAUGGCUGUCAAAUUCUUUACAAAUUUUGAGUCUGUACUCUUUUGCUUCUUCAAGGGAUGAUAUACAGUCAUACAACAAUAUAUAUAGUUGCUUCAAGAAAAUCAAUUGUAUUGAGAUUUAAAGAUGAAAUGAAAAGAUUUUCUUAUCUGCGAGAUUCCAUUUCCAGCUGAAGGAGGUGAACAGGAUUUGUGGCGCUGUGCUUUCCACUGACAUGAGAGCUUCUCAUGCUGAUAACGUGUUGUAAAAUCGACGGUGUGUGUAGUGGAAUAAACAAAUAAGACACAAAAUUUACAAGAUUUCUCUACAGUCAGUGUGAAUGGAGUACGUCUUCGGGGCAGCAGCAAUGCUUUUAUUUAUAAUUUGAAGUAAUAAGAUUACAAAGAUAACUCUCCUCUCUCUUUUCUCCCUCUCUGCCAUGAGCCUUGUGGCUUAUUACUUCUUCCUCUCUCUUCCUUUUAUCACCACAUUUUGAACACUUGUAAUGCUUUAUUUAUAAAGCAAAUAUUUUGAAAAGCAAACAAAACACUAUUAAACUUGUGAAAGGUUUACUAUAUGCAUGUAGGCAUACAUACCCACUAUUUACAACAUUUUUUUUUCUUUUGUUAAGCAAACAGGGAAACCUUAACUUUUUAUGUUGUAGAGUCAUUCCUCCGCCUGUAACUUUCAAUCUCAUGCAUGUGUAAAAUCCGGAUCCUUUUCCUAGGAUUCUAGAGAUUUCAUGAUCGUAACCGUUCAUCGUACAUUAUGUGGUUAGAAAUCAUUUCAAAAUUUAAAAAUUUUAAAUUAAAUAUAAAUAGUACCUAACGAAAAUUGACCAUACUAUAUACGAUGAACGGUCACGAUCAAGGGAUCCCUAUGAUCUCUAGGAAAAUGAUCUGACAAGAAUCCUUUUCCGUAAAAUCAUAUCUUUUGUGUUUAUAUAUAUAUUUAUAUAUUAUUUGUAUUGCUGCGUACUUUCUGUGUUAAACCUCGCUGAUAUUUUUCUCCACUGGAAUGAGUGGAAGGUCCUCCUCCUUUUCCUCCCUAUGACUAACAACCAAAGACUCAAUUAAUUACACAAGAACUGCUUGGAAAGCAAGCACAACUGCAGUUUCAUCGAAGGUGCUCUUACAAAAACCAUGUUAUGUAGUUAAACACAAAAGUCUUUGUAGCCCACUUGACCAUAAAAUGCAAUUGAUCGAUCGGGUCAAAUCAACAAUCAAUUAUUGCAUUGUCCUGUCCUGUGUGUUUGAUUCCAUUAAAUCAGAAAUUAUAUCGUUUGUGGUUUACCCCAAUCACGGAAGCCCACAAAGAACGACUUAUUGACUUACAUUAUUUAUAAUUAUGGAAAAUACUAAAAAACCUAUUUUAAAAGUAGAAUUCUCUAUAGACAUUAUGUUAUUUAUAUAUUUUUUGCAUAAUAUUUUAUAAUAUUGGUACGAUAAUUGACGUUAAACUAUAAGGUGGUAGAUGCGAGAUUUUUCAGUAUGACCGUCACACGAGGUGGUACACCACGUGUCAUUAUAUAAAUGAUGAGAUAUGUGUCUUAAAAAGUUAAUAACUUAAAAAAAAAAAUAUUUUUACCACUUACGUAAAAACACGUAAUGUACCACCCGUAUUCCCGUCACAACUCAAAAUUUCUACUGGUAGAGAGUUCCACUUUGAGAGUCUCUUUAGCAUUUCUCAUAAUUUAUUGUUUAGGUAAUGCUAGGGAAACUAAAUAUGGAGACAAAAAUUUGGAGAUUAAAUGAUGUAUCACCAAUAAGAAUGAAUACGUUUAACAACGCUUAAAUAAUAAACUAAUCAUUAACUAGUAUGUCCUUUAUUUUCCAAACUUUUAUCUACAAAUUUAUUCUCAUUUAACAUUAUCUUUAUUGUUUUGGUCAAUACCUAGUUCUACAGCGGAAAAUACCCCUUUUUUUUUUCUUUUGUUAAGCAAACGGAGAAACCUUAACUCUUUCAUUUGUAAAAUCAUUCCUCUUUACCUGCCCCUUUCAAUCUCAUACAUGUGUGAAAUCUUUUAUUUUCUGUUUAUAUAUAAAUUAUUUGUAUAGCACACCUGUUUCAAACCUCGCUGAUAUUUUUCUCCAUGGGAAUGAGUGGAAGGUCCUCCUCCUCCUCCUCUAUGCGGAUUUUAAUUGCGGCUUUUAUUGUUAUUAGCUUAUCCCCUAAAACCAUUUGUAACGCCGCCCAGCAAACGUGUACCCCUUCUUCCUGCGGCCAUAUCCGCAAUAUAAGCUACCCUUUUCGACUAAAAGGUGAUCCGCGCCACUGCGGCGAUUCACGCUUCACCCUUUCUUGCGAGAACAAUAUUACCAUACUAAGCAUAAGUUUAUCUGGCGAGUACUAUGUACGGGCAAUCAACUACCAUAAUCAAACAAUCCGAGUCGUUGAUCCGGGCAUUGACAAGAGCAAUUGCUCCUCCCUUCCUCGUCAUUCUUUGGGUUAUUCUAUGUUUACCGAUCCGUAUGAUAUAUACAACCCCGACGUCGAAAAUUGUACUGGUUAUGAAGCAGAUGCGAAAAACAAAAGAUUUACGGAUGCAUCAUCAUCGCCACCAAUCUGCUCAAGAACAAUAGCUUUAACGUUUUUGAAGUGCGGGAGUCCAGUGAAUUCAUCUCAAUCUCUGUCCGUGGUCGACACUGCUCUAUGUUAUCCUGUUGAAUCUACUUCGACUUCUUCUUUGUCAUGGUCGUCGUCCGCAUCCCCCCAACCAAAAACUUAUGGCUAUGUCGUGAUUGGACCGUUUCGUGUAUGGGAGUUGAAUGAAGGUUGCAGCAUAGAGCGAGUGACUUUCGCCUACUUGUCCGACGACUACGACGCUUCUUAUAAAUCCAUACACAAUUCUCUGGUAUAUGGCUUUGAGCUUAACUAUACGGUCUAUUCCUCUCGUGACUCCCAUUGCGGAGGAGCCCAGUGGAGAUACAGUGUUAGAUGGAACAAUGUUCAAUGUUAUCCUCACAGCGUUGGAGGUGAGUAGUGAAUAAAUCUCAAUUUUAAUUUUUCAUUCAUUUAUCAUCUCUUGUACCUAAACAAGUAAUAUAGAAGCUUAUUUAUAUAAAUGAUCGCAGAGGCAAUGGUCAUCCUUUGUCUCUCUUAUGAAAUCUGUUAGACCAACAAGUUUGAGAUUUUAAUUUAAAAAUCAACACGUGUGCCCACUAAUGUUGUAUUUUUCUUCUUUUUGCUCUGUCACUGUAGGUUUGUUUCGACUUCUAUGGGCUGGGAUUCAAGUUUCAAGGUAAGAGAUCUAUAUAUGAGUGCUUAUAUGACAUUUGAUAGAUAAAAUUUAACUUUAGAGGACAUACAAAAUUAACAUGUUUGUUAAUCCUCUCUAAUAAUAGUGUAAUAAUAGUGUGUCCUAUCAUUUCAUGUGAGUCUCAUCUGUAUUAAAGUGUGUAAGCAAAUAUAUCAAUUUUGUUGUGAAUUAAGAAUUAAUUUGUAUGUUAGAUUAAUGGUUUAAUUCCAUAAUUUCUAGGUCACUCUAUCGAAAAAAUAAUAAAUUUUACCGGAUUACCAUAGAAAAUUAUAUGAUAUCAGUGCAUGUCCCUGCAUCCUAGAUUGAUUCUUGCAUAGAUGGGGCUAGUGAGUUAUGAUCGUGUAGGAUGAAAAUUUGUUUCAAGACGCAUAUAGUUCAUUUUUUUAUACUUUCUUCACCCACACAACUGUGUACAAAGCAGAGAAGUGAAUAACUGGAUACAAUAAAGUAUUGCCUUAUAUACCUUAUUGUUUGUCUAAGUUAUAACACACAGAAACAAAAUCUCCAUCCCUUUUGUAAAUAAAGCUUUCAUGUCCACCCACCAACGCUAUUUACACCUACUUUUUAAUUAAAAUUACAUAUUUAACCUGUGUAAAAUGACUUUUGUGACCCCAAUAAAAAUUAAUUUUAUUUUGUAUUUUGUAGCUAAAAGAAUAAAUGAAACUAAACAACAACAACAACAACAAAGCCUUUUCCCACUAAGUGGGGUCGGCUAUAUAAAUCCUAGAACGCCAUUGCGCUCAGUUUUGUGUCAUGUCCUCCGUUAGAUCCAAGUACUCUUAAGUCUUUUUCUAGGGUCUCUUUCAAAGUUUUCCUAGGUCUUCCUCUACCCCUUCGGCCCUGAACCUCUAUCCCGUAGUCACAUCUUCGAACCGGAGCGUCAGUAUGCCUUCUUUGCACAUGUCCAAACUCAUUUUGUGUACGUGUUGAUGCUUCACCACCCAACAUUCUGUGCCAUACAGCAUCGCCAGCCUUAUUGCCGUCCUAUAAAAUUUUCCCUUGAGCUUCAGUGGCCUACGACGGUUACACAACACGCCGGAUGCACUCUUCCACUUCAUCCAUCCAGCUUGUAUUCUAUGGUUGAGAUAUCCACCUAAUUCUCUGUUCUUUUGCAAGAUAGAUCCUAGGUAGUGAAAACGGUCGCUCUUUGGUAUCACCUGAUCUCCGAUCCUCGCCCUUAACUCAUUUUGGUCUCCAUUUGCACUGAACUUGCACUCCAUAUAUUAUGUCUUUGAUCGGCUUAGGCGAAGACCUUUAGAUUCCACCACUUCUCUCCAAAGGUUAAGCUUCGCAGUUACCCCUCCUGAGUUUCAUCUAUCAACCCUAUAUCAUUUGCAAUUAAGGAUUGUUGAUGCACAAAAUCAGUGAGGACUUCGGUACAACAACAAGUAUUAAGUUAUUGCUCUGGUCAUUAGAGUGGAUAAGUAUGUAAAUGGAUAGAGACAGGAAAGCAAACAUAAGAUGAACGUGGUUCACCCAGAUUGGCUACGUCCACGGAGUAGAUGAGUUCGCAUUAAUUGUGAAGGGUUUACACAAGUACAUAGGUUCAAGCUCUCCUUUAGUGGGUACAAAUGAAUGAUUUAGUACAAAUGACAUUAGGAAAUAUUGUGGGAGAAUGAUCUCGUAAUCACGAAACUUCUAAGUAUUGAAGUGUGGUAUCGUCUUCACUUGCCUUAUCUGUCUCAUAGGUAGAUGUGACAUUUUCUUUGGAAGUACUCUUCCUCCAUCCAGGGGCGGUAGCUUUAACUGGUGGAGAUGCACAAGGUAAUGUAUCAAUUUCACUUGAAGCUUACUUGUAGUGUCAGGCUUGGUCAAGCGCGAUACAAACCAUGUAGUAGGAGUCCCCCAAGUCGCCGAGCUAGGGGAUCUGCUGAAAGAUGUGACAGACAAGGUAAGCAAUCAGAGCUCUAAGUAAUCAGUCCCAGAUCAGAAGUUUGAUUUCGAGUUCCGGCUGAUUGUUCUCAUUCUCCCUAUCUUGCAGGCAGCAUGAAGGAUAAAGAGAAGAAAAGGAGAAUAGAUGAUAUGAGAUACUUUUGCUUUUGAAGAAGUAACUUUCCACAGGCUUAUUCUUGAACUGGGCUGGAGGGUUUUCUGGUUUCCUCCAGAGUAUAAAGCCGACUGAAGAAUUUGAGGGUCAAAACAAGUCCAUCAAAUCUAGAGUACGUUCGACCCUGCUGAUAUGGGAUACUUUUGCUGUUGACAAAGUAGUGGAUGUAUCGGCACGUGUUUUGUUACGCUUGUCUCCACAUGCUUGUAUCCUUCUCACUUUCCCUAUCGGCUCCUCAGGCAGAUGUGGUAUCUUCUCUGGAAGCAUAAGAUGUUGAAGAUGAGUACUCGAGAGCAAUGCCAGGUAAGUAAUCAGGUAAGGGGUUCCAGGCAGUCAGUUCCUGACUGGAAGCUUGAUUCCAAGUGCUGACUGAUUGCUCUCUUUCUCCUUGUCUUGCAGGUAAGAACAAGGCCAAAGGAAAAGACAGGGAAAAAGCAUGAUAUGGGAUACUCUUGCUUUUAACCCUGAUGAUAUGAGAUAUUCUUGCUCUGGUGUAGCUUGUUUGCAGAGGUAUUAUCGGGGGGAAAGAAAGCUGAGUAUUUCGAGAGGCUUCGUUGGGAGUGCCCUCUCAGAUAUGAGGAAGGGUUGAGCAUUUUUGCAGGUCUGCUUGUCCGUUGAGGAUGGAGGUCGACAUAUAUAGGAGUCUCCCUAACAAGAAGUAGUAAUGCUAUUCCUUUACCCUGCUUAGUCAUAGCACGGUAGUGGGAGCUGCCAGCUUCACGUGUGUCAGAGCACUUUGAAAAAGUGGUAUGUGGUAUCUGGAAAGCUAAUGUUGCGUGUGAAGAUUACAGACAGGUUUUAUCCAAGGAGAUCUAGCUCUCGAAGUUGAGAAAGUGAUGCUUCUUCGGUUUUCGAACAAGCAAUCAUGUCGGGGAUCUAUCUCUCGAGAUUCGGAGAACGGUGCCUCUUCGAUUUUUGAGAGAGCACUCCUGCUGGGAGUCUGGCUCUCGAGAUUCAGAGAGUGGUGUCUCUUCGAUUUUUGAGAAAGUAAUCAUGCUGGGAGUUUCGGAGGACGGUGCCUCUUCGAUUUUGGAGCAAGCAAUCUUGUUUGGAGUGUUUUCUCAAAUGUGAGUAAAGGUAGGGCAUGUUUGCUAGUCUACCUUGCCAUGGAGCACAUAGGUUGACACACAGGGACUUUCCAAUUAUCCAGCCGUGGUGCUGUUCCUUUACCCUUGUAGGUAAUAAUAUGAUAGCUAAACCUUCAAAAUUUCUGUGUCUAAAACUUUAUUGGUGUUGUUUCUUUGCUAUUCUUUUACCCUUCUUGGUCAUAGCGAUGUAGUGGGAGCUGCAAGCUUCACGUGUCUAAACUUUGUUAGAGAUCUUUGGCAAAGUUAUCUGUGGUACCCAUGAGCUGAUGGUGCGUGUGAAAAAUGGAUGAUUGAAUAGUAAGAUUCACGUGCUUUCUACUUCACCAGAAUGCCCGUAAUUUCAGCAAAGCUGAGUGUGCAUGUGACAGAUGCUGACAAGCCUGAAAAAAAGCAGGUGCCUCUUCAAUUUCGGAGAUCGGCCCUCGUGGUCUCUGAGCAGCCCAGCUUUUGAGAAAGCAAAUGCCUCUUCGAUUUCUGAGAUCGGCCCUCGUGGUCUCUGAGCAGCCCAACUUUUGAGAAAGCAAACGCCUAUUCGAUUUUUGGGCAGACGCCUCUUCGAUUUCUGAAGCUCCGUCGAGUGCAGAUUUUUAUAGAGGCUGGCAUUAAGUUUCAAAGCACACUUGAAUCUUCACCAGUAGAAGCUCCCUUCUUGCACUUCUAAGAUCUUGAUUUGUCCGACCUCUUCUCUCUUCAACACCUUUGAAAAUGUCUGGCCCCUCCGACCGUCGUUUUGACUUGAACCUUGUUGAAGAGGCAGCCACGCCUUCUCCAGACAACAUAUGGCGCCCAUCCUUCUUAUCCCCUACUAGUCCUCUUACCGUUGGGGAUUCCGUGAUGAAGAAUGAUAUGACUGCUACGGUGGUGGCCAGGAACCUUCUCACUCCCAAAGAUAACAGACUAUUUUCCAAACGGUCUGAUGAAUUGGCUGUUAAGGAUUCUCUGGCUCUAAGUGUUCAGUGUGCUGGUUCUGUGUCUAAUAUGGCCCAACGCCUAUUUGCUCGAACUCGCCAAGUUGAAUCAUUGGCGGCUGAAGUGAUGAGUCUCAAACAGGAGAUUAGAGGGCUCAAGCAUGAGAAUAAACAGUUGCACCGGCUCGCACAUAACUAUGCUACAAACAUGAAGAGGAAGCUUGACCAGAUGAAGGAAUCUGAUGGUCAAGUUUUACUUGAUCAUCAACGGUUUGUGGGUUUGUUCCAAAGGCAUUUAUUGCCUUCGUCUUCUGGGGCUGUACCGCAUAAUGAAGCUCCAAAUGAUCAACCUCUGAUGCCUCAUCCUUCUAGGGUUCUGUCCAGUACUGAGGCUCCGAAUGAUUCCCCUCCGGUGCCUUCUCUUUCUGGGACUCUACCGACUGCUGAGACUUCUCCUAAGCAACCUUUGUGAAGGCUCCCUCUUAUUUGUUUAUUUUGACUCAUGUAUAUGUACAUAUUUGUAACUUAUCGGAGAUAUCAAUAAAUAAGCUUUGCUUCAUUUCCAACGUAUUGUGUUAAAGACACCAAAGCCUUCUUCACUGAGUGGGGUCGGCUAUAUGAAUCUUAGAACGCCAUUGUGCUCGGUCCUGUGUCAUGUCCUCCGUUAGAUCCAAAUACUCUAAGUCUUUUCUUAGAGUCUCUUCCAAAGUUUUCCUAGGUCUUCCUCUACCCCUUCGGCCCUGAACCUUUGUCUCGUAGUCGCAUCUUCUAACCGGAGCGUCAGUAGGCCUUCUUUGCACAUGUCCAAACCACCGUAACCGAUUUUCUCUCAACUUUCCUACAAAUUUCAGCUACUCCUCCUACUUUACCUCGGAUAUCCUCAUUCCUAAUCUUAUCUUAUCUUUUCUCGUGUGCCCACACACCAUCCAACGAAGCAUCCUCAUCUCCGCUACACUCAUUUUAUGUACGUGUUGAUGCUUCACCACCCAACAUUCUGUGUCCAUACAACAACAUCACCGCCUUAUUGUCGUCCUAUAAAAAUUUUCCCUUAAGCUUCAGUGGCAUACGGCGGUCACACACCAGACCGGAUGCACUCUUCUCCACUUCAUCCAUCCAGCUUGUAUUCUAUUGGUUGAGAUCUAUCUUUCUCCGUUCUUUUGCAAGAUAGAUCCUAAGUAGCGAAAACGAUCGCUCUUUGGUAUUUCCUGAUCUCCGAUCUCACCCUAUUGGCAUUCUCCUCCAUUUGCACUGUCCAUUACUUGCCAUCCUUUAUAUUCUGUCUUUGAUCGGCUUAGGCGAAGACCUUUAGAUUCCAACACUUCUCUCCAAAGGUUAAGCUUCGCAUUUACUCCUUCCUGAGUUUCAUCUAUCAGCACUAUAUCGUCUGCGAAAAGCAUACACCAAGGAAUAUCAUCUUGAAUACGUCAUGUUAACUCAUCCAUUACCAACGCAAAAAGGUAAGGACUUAAGGAUGAGCCUUGAUGUAAUCCUACAAUUAUGGGGAAGCUUUCGGUUUGUCCUUCAUAAGUUCUUACGGCAGUUUUUGCUCCUUCAUACAUAUCCUUUAUAGCUUGGAUAUAUGAUACUCGUACUCCUUUCUUCUCUAAAAUCCUCCAAAGAAUGUCUCUUGGGACCCUAUGAUACGCUUUUUCCAAAUCUAUAAAGACUAUAUGUAAAUCCUUUUUCCCAUAUCUAUAUCUUUCCAUCAAUCUUCGUAAGAGAUAGAUUGCCUCCAUGGUUGAGCGCCCUGGCAUGAACUCGAAUUGGUUGUCCGAAACCCGUGUCUCUGGCCUCAAUCUAUGCUCAAUGACUCCCUCCCAGCGCUUCAUUGUAUGACUCAUUAGCUUAAUACCCCUAUAGUUCAUGCAGUUUUGUACGUCGCCCUUAUUCUUGUAGAUAGGCACCAAAGUGCUCUUUCGCCACUCAUUUGGCAUCUUCUUCGUUUUCAAAAUCCUAUUGAAAAGGUCAGUGAGCCAUGCUAUACAUGUCUCUCCCAAGACUUUCCACACUUCGAUCGGUAUAUCGUCUAGGCCCACUGCUUUUCAAUGCUUCAUUUUCUUUAAAGCUACAACCACUUCUUCCUUCCUGAUUCGACGAUAAAAGGAGUAGUUUCUACACUCUUUUGUGUUACUCAACUCCCCUAAAGAAAUACUCCUUUCAUGUCCUUCAUUGAAAAGAUUAUGAAAAUAACAUCUCCAUCUGUCUUUGACCGCGUUCUCUGUAGCAAGAACAUUUCCAUCCUCAUCCUUGAUGCACCUCACUUGGUUUAGGUCCCUUGUCUUCUUUUCCCUUGCUCUAGAUAGUUUAUAGAUAUCCAACUCUCCUUCUUUGGUAUCUAGUCGCUUAUACAUAUCGUCAUAAGCCGCUAACUUAGCUUCUCUCACAGCUUUCUUCGCCUCUUGCUUCGCUCUUCUAUACCUUUCACCAUUUUCAUCAGUCUUGUCCUUGUAUAGGGCUUUACAACACUCCUUCUUAGCCUUCACCUUUGUUUGUACCUCCUCAUUCCACCACCAAGAUUCCUUUUGGUAUGGAGCAAAGCCCUUGGACUCUCCUAAUACCGCUUUUGCUACUUUUCGUAUACAACUAGCCAUGGAAUCCCACCUUUGGCUAGCUUCCCCUUCUCUAUCCCACCCACAUUGGGUGAUUACUUUCUCUUUGAAAAUGGCUUGUUUUCUCCUUUUAGAUUCCACCAUCUAAAUGAAACUAAAAUUUUAAAAAAAAAUCCAAAGUGAAUAGAAAAAAAUUCCAAAGCAACGAUCUCUACCAACUCUUGCUGCCGCUAUUCGAUGUAGAGCACCUCCACCCAUCUUAUUUUGUCAUGGCAAGGUGCCAAAACCACUCCAAAACACACAUAUUAUGAGCCUUGGUAAUUGGUUGUCAUUUCUUGGGCCAUGACAGUUCUAGCCCAAGCCAAGCCAUGGCAGGAUGACGUCAUGUUGCAUUGAGUCAAGUCAAAAAGCUGGAAAUACAACGAUCUUUGCCACAUCGCACCUUUUUUGCCCUUCAGUUCAAAUAGUACUUAAAUUCAACAAUCUCGAAUCUUUCAUAAAUUAAAAAAAGAAAAUCAUUUAAAAUUUUAAUUAUAUAUUUCAAAUAAAAAAUUUCCAUUUUUUCACUAAAAAUAAAAUAUGAACACAUGGUGCAGCUAUAGAGAAGAAACAAUCCAGUUAAGCAAUUGAUAUGUCAAGAACGACCUAACAGAAGCUUUCAUUAAGCGCCUUCAAAUGAUUGUUUGAUCGUUGGUCAUACGUACCAGCUUUUGAUCACUGCUUAGGGCCAUGCAAUAUUGCACGUAGCAAUGUUGGUCUGCCUAAGGCCCGACGCGAUCCAACCAUAUAGCACAUUUCAGUUCGUUACCGGAUAAGAACCCAGCAUAUCACAUCUGCGCGUUUUUAGUUGUGCAUUCUAUAUGCCAAUUGCGCUGCCCUUACGUACUAAAUGGGUCCUCAAAGAAAGAUAGGAACCUAUGUCGGUUAUGAUUCUCUUUUUAUUAUUUGUUACUUAAAACCUUUGACAGGCGAUCUCCUUACCACUCGUUUUGCAGAUUGUUACUUCUGCGAGACAGUCUUUCCGUCGUUAGGGGGAGAUAAGAAUGUCAAUGUUCCUGAAUAACGACGUGAAUUAUUGUGGACGACUCCCACUUUGUCUCAUUUAGAGCCAUGCACCGCCCUGUCUGAGAUUGAAAUGCGAUGCAUUCUAGAUCUUCAGAACGUAGCUUAGGGCAUACCAGAUGCUUUCACUGAUCUAGCGAAAGUGACGAGAUCAUAUAUACCAUCUGCAAACGUGCCUGCAAAGAUGGAUGUACCAAAUGUAUGACGGGUUUCCCUCUUGGAAGGCCGGGACGCCCCCGUGGCUGACCCACGUACAUUGGCAGCUAACCAAUCAUCUACUCCUACCCACAAGUGUGACAGACCUCUUGGUUCAAAGGAUUCACAAAUCCAGAAGAGGAAAUCCACGACACAUGCUGUUGAGCCUACCGUGAAUCUAACUAUCGCCUAAUCAUUCUAUCCAACGCAUGAGGAAAUUAUAGAUUAUGGAAGCAUCAUGGAAGACACGAAUCCACCUGCAAAGAAUUGAAAGAUUUCGAUCCAUUAUACUAGCUUGGAUGAUGUUUGGUAUAGAAAUGAGAUGAUAAUUGACGAUGCAUUAGCAUAUGUAGUAGCUACUGAGAUCAUGUUAAGCGAUGACAUUAAACCUUGUUUUGUUGAUGAAUGUCGAUGUAGAACUGAUUGGUCCAACUGGAAAUAAGCAAUUGAAGUCAAACUUGAUUCUCUUGCGAAACACGAGGUGUUUGGGCCUGUAGUUCCUACACCGCAACAUGUGAUGAUAAUCAAGAUUGUUUGAUUAAAGCAAAUCAGUCACGAAUCAAGACAAACUCAAGCCUUGGUUCUUUCAUCAAUUAAAGUUAUUUGGCACACGAAUCAAGUCCAAAUCAAGUCUUGUUUCUUUUGUCAAUCAAAAUAAUUUGGUCAAAUUAAUUGAUUUGGUUCAAAUCAAGUCUCGACGUGGAGAAGCCUAUAAAUACGAGGCUCGAAGACAAAGCAAAGAUGGCAAAGACACACCGGGUCCAAACGGUUCCAAAAAAAAAAAAAAAGCGUGGAGACAAUUUUGACAGCAUCAAACUAGUGGAUGCAAACCACUUAAAGUCAGUGGAGAACCACAUAAUAUUAGUAUAUGCAAACCACUUAAAAUUAAUGGGUCGAAUUCCCGUUAAUUACUAUACUAGUCAAAAUGGCACAAAGCCGUUCCAAAUCCCAUGUGGCACAAAGCCGCAUCCAAGUUCGCAAUUUGGAACUAUGUUGGUUUGAUACCACAAAGGGUGUGUAGGCAAUCUAGUAUUAAAUUCUAGACACACCACAACGAAACCCCAAUCUAAGCAGAUAAACGCUCUUGUGUUCUUCAACAAGCUCGCAGAGAAUCAACAAGUGCAACAAAAUCAUGCCAAUUCAUCCACCACCAAAGCCUAAGAUCAAACAUUGACAACCCUUGAAGUAAUCACAAUCUUAAUACAGGAUCAAGUGUUCACCACUCUUAAAUUGAAUUCUACUUUGGAGUUUGAAUCAAAGGAUUAUUCUUCUAAAAGAAUAGCUACGUAGAGAUUGUAACCCUAAGCACUCAUUAAUACAAAUCCAUUAUUUGUAAUGUGUGCUUUUGUUAUUUGUCAUUUUGUGUUUACAAUUUGGCAUACCUGGUGGGACUAUCUCUGCCUCUCAUCUCUUUCUCCAAGUGAGUCAACUCCAAUCCAAGCAAUGACGUUGAAGAAGGCUCAAGUUACAUCCAUGAAUCUAGGUAAGAAUGUGAUUGGUUUCAUAACAAGGUGCGACCUUGUAGGCAUCGUCUCACAAAGCAAGACGAGGGCAUCCCUCUCAACCCAACACACCGCUCCAACGGUGUUUCCACUUAUAUGACAUGGAGUUUGCCACAAGAAUCUAUUGUCCAUCAUCUCUGUGACUCAGAGCGAGUUGGAGGCUUUAGCCCAACAAACUGAUGUCAUGGGGCAUUCGUCCAAGAUGCACAUAGUACAUCAAAAGAACAAGUCGGUUAUUUCCUUUGCUUCGUUGUGGAUGAAAAAGCUUAUAUCUCGAAGCAAUGAAAGAUGCCCGCCCAUAACUAAGGAUUCAAUAGUGCGGUCAUCCUUCCUUGCUUGUAAUGUGUACUCAAAAUAGGUUCAUGCCAAGUGCUUUAGCCAUCAACCACUCCUUGCACGCACGAGUUAAAACUAGUUGAUUAUUUGAGGAAUCAAAUCGGGUACGACUCAAGUCCAAAUCAAGUUUUAAUUCUUUGUCAAUUAAACUUAUUCGGCACACGAUUAAGUCCAAAUCAAGUCUUGGUUUUUUUAUCAAUCAAAAUAAUUUGAUCAAAUUGCCAAAAUAGUUAAAACAUAUAAUAAUAAUAUACUUUAUUUUUAUUUAUAAUCUCUCCUACUUUCACUCUCUCUCCUGUCCCCCAUUUUCUCCGCCGCUAUUCCUCCCUCAUCUCAACUUCACUGGAUCUUCGAGAGCAACCCCGUCGUCAGUGGUCGCAUGGCCACCGUCAACAUCUCCACCCACACCUUCGAGGCCGGCGCCUCCAUUCUCCACCCCAGGAACUUGCACUCUUUGAACUACACCAAGCUCCUCAACCUCGCCGUCAAAAGCCCCUCCUCCUCUUCCGCGCUUCAAAUCAAAGCUUCCCUUUGCUGAUAAGAUUGUUUUGCUUCCAAUUCACUGCUCAUGCUCUUCAGAUACGGCUUCUCCCUUGUCAGGAUGGACAAAUUUGUUGAGGUAUAAAAGUAAAUAAAUAAAAGGUUUGUUUAUUGGGUUUAACUUAGCGUUUUGUUGUUGAAUUUGGUAAAUUUCUUUGUGUGGUGCAGAUAAGAUUGUUUGGCAUCUUAUUAAUUUAUUGGGUGUUAAUUUGGUGAAGUCCUUGCCUAUGAGAAUCAUCAAUCCUGCUACUGAAGAAAUCAUGGUCCUUUUCUCACCCUAAGCAUUUCUGUCAAUUAAAUUAAUUUCUGGGUUGUUUUCUAAAUUUAAUUACUGUUUAAUCAUCGCAUUUGAUCGUGUGUAGGAUCUAGAAGAAGGAGAGGGAUAGUCGUUGGUGCAGUGGUGGUGGUCGGUGUUGAGCAGGAGUGGGAGGGACGGCGGCGGUCCUAGGGGUCUGAUGCGGCGGGAGAACGAGGGAGUAGGAAAGAGAUCCUUCCAGUUUGUAACAGGGACAAGGACGCAUUUUGUAAAACUAGCGAGGGUGUAGGAGAGUUUCAUUGAACAUGCACUGUUCCUCUGUAUGUUAUGGAAAAAGGCUAGAUUUUCAAACCAAUGUUUCGCUGCUUCAGCUUUUAGUCUUUUUAUUCACCCUCAAUUUAAAAAAGCUGGUUUUAGAGUAUUUACCAAACCCUAAAAAGACCGCAACUUUUUUUCAUACCUGCAUAUUUUUUUUUUUAAAUUUCAGCAGUACCAAACUGGUACUAAGAGCCCCAGACUUUCUUUAAUUACACUAUAUUUGUGUUACACCUUUACAAGAGUGGUAUUUAAUCAAUCACAUAAACAUGUACCUAACAAAUAAUAUAGGGCAUUCAAUAUGGAUAUGAAAAACUGCAACAAAUUUCAAUGUUAAUCCAGGUGUGUGUAGGAGCGAUAUGUUUGUAACUACCUCCAGGGUAUAUGUAAGAUGGCUUAUCAGAAAUUGGAAACCAAAAUAGCUCCCUUAAUUGAUUAGGGGCUAUAUCUAUGAUGGCUUAUCAGAAUUUUUUAUCUAUACUUAUGCUUUGCACUUCGAAAACUAGCUAGUUAUUUCUCUUUGAUUUUGUUAUUAUAUCUUGUUGUAUUUCUUGGGUAUUUAAUGUUCUUCACAAUAUUCACUUUACAAAGUUCAAGCUCUAGUCAAAUUUGAUUUACUCAUCCUUCUGUUCUAAACGCAGGUUUUCUAUUGUUCGUACUCUUUUGUUUUGGUAAGAGCUUUGCUAAUAUCUAUGAUAUCCAAUAUUGAGCAUAUAGUUUGAUCCAAGGCAACAAGUCAAUUUCUUUUCUCAUGAUGUAUUUUGUGAUUUACUCCAAUGUUCAGGACUACUUUUCGGGGUAAAAUUUCUAUUCGGGGCACCAUUCGUGACUGCGUUUUUGAUCUAUACAUGGAAAAGAAGACAUUUGUCAAUGUACAACUCCAUAGAAGAAUUUUUGCAUGGUGAAAAGACUUUAGUGCCAAUAAGGUACUCGUACUCGAACAUCAAGAAGAUGUCUAACAAAUUUAAAGAAAAACUUGGUGAAGGAGGGUAUGGAUCAGUUUUUAAAGCAAGGUUACGGAGUGGACGUUUUGGGGCAAUUAAGAUGUUGGAUAAGCCCAAAGGCAAUGGACAAGAUUUCAUCAGCGAGGUAAAUACUAUUGGGAGGAUUCACCAUGUUAAUGUGGUUCAGCUUGUUGGUUAUUGUGUUGAAGGAACAAAGCAUGCUUUGGUAUAUGACUUCAUGCUCAACGGAUCUCUUGAUAAAUACAUUUAUUGCAAAGAAGGAAGUAUCCCAUUAAGUUGCAAGACAACGUACGAGAUUUCUCUUGGAGUGGCUCGAGGGAUCAAAUAUCUACAUGAAGAUUGUGACAUGCAAAUAUUACAUUUUGACAUCAAGCCUCACAACAUUCUUCUUGAUGAGAAUUUCAUACCGAAGAUUUCUGACUUUGGGCUUGCAAAAUUAUACCCGGUGGAUAAUAGUAUUGUAUCUCUAACAGCAGCAAGGGGUACAAUGGGAUACAUGGCUCCUGAGCUAUUCUACAAGAAUAUUGGCGGUGUUUCGUUUAAAGCCGAUGUUUAUAGUUUUGGAAUGUUGUUGAUGGAAAUGGCAAGCCGAAGGAAGAAUUUGAAUGCAUUGGCAGAGCAUUCAAGCCAACUUUACUUCCCUUCAUGGGUUUACAAUCAAUAUAAUGAAGGAAAGGACUUCGAGGUGGGAGAAGUUGUGGAGGAGGAAAAACCAUUAAUAAGAAAAAUGAUUAUAACCGCCUUGUGGUGUAUACAAUUGAAGCCAAGCGAUCGACCUUCAAUGAAGGAAGUCCUACAGAUGCUCGAAGGAGAUGUUGAAUUACUUCGAAUGCCUCCGGAGCCUCUUCUAUAUCCCAAGAGAUGCCCGUAGGUGCUCCUAAUGAUAAUCCGAAUCCAACAUAUUCGAAGGUGGAGUUAACAUCUUCUUUGACGGGUAGGUGAAGACACGCAACUAGCAUGGACUCUGUCAGUUUGAAUCUCAAUGCAAUGUUUCUGGUUUUGUAGUAGUACUGUGUGCAUGAUAAAACCCCCUUUCAUUGAUGUUAAAUAUGUUUAGUACAACAUAUUUUCAUGAUUCCAGGGAUAAAUAACAUAUUUCAUGGAGGACAUGUUGUAUGAUUCAUGAAGACGAUAUUUUCUAAUUUUUGUUCCAAGAAAUUAUUAGUUGUGAUGAUUGUUCGCUCGUGCUGAUAAUUCUGGUUCUAAUGGGCUCAUGCCGGCUGCUCUUACAUAUCUCCGGUUGUUAUUUGUCCGUGGAGGGAGGGACCUCCCUAGUCAAUAUCGAAAACAUUUUUUUUCUUGUGAAUACAACGAUAUAUUUACACUAAGGGGGAGUGGGUCGCCUAAGCCAUACAAUGGACAAUCUAAUUUGCUAUCCAAUUUGUCAUCUACAAGAUUUAAACUUAAGAUCUCUCACUUGCAAGUGAAGAGGAAUAUCAUCAUAUGUAGUAUUGAGUGGCAAUAUUCGAAACCUUUUAGUUGGGUGGCAAUAUUCGAAACCUUUUAGUUUGCCAAGUCAUUUCUUGGUUAGAAGUUUUUUAAGAAAGUUGAGGUUCCACCCCAAAAUCAAUUGGCAAUAUGAGAGUAGUCUAAUUACUUAUAAGUACAUGUAAGGUCCCUUCUUUCUCUAAUGUGGAAUUCACUUUCAAAAAAUAUUUUGUCUGAGAAUCCCUCCUUUUGUAUUUGAAAUGCUGCCUGCUCUGUACUGUGCAACCAGUUUAUAGCCUUGGUGGAGGACUUAGCCUUCUCAUUAUAAUUUCCUAUGAUACUUGAACGUAAUGUCUAUCACUUGCUGGAGCAUCAUUGUAAUUGUAAGCCAAAUGGAAGAUUUGUUGAUCACAGCCUUGGUGAAGAUAUUCAAUUCCUUUGGCAAAUGGCUAGAUCUUGCAUCCCAACCAAGAAAUUUGUUGUUAUUGUCUGCUGAUGAAAUGAAAUCAUGCAGUGAUCUAUUGAACAGCAGUUCGUCUAAAUCCAUAAACGCAGAAGCCAACCAAGGGAAUAGCAUGGUUGAUAUGACCCAUUGUUCCCCCUUUAUUUAUGAACUCUUCUCCAUCUCCCCUUCCAAUUGUAUAAUAUCAUAUGGUUUACCAUAUCGUAUUUCGGUCACAAGUGAGAUAAUUAAUCUCAAUUCGAACUUAGCGAUUAAUAUAAUGAUAAUUUUUUUUUCAUGAUCAGGAUUUUCAGCCUGGAGAGACAGUAAGAAGUUUGCCACACUGCCAUAACAUAUUUCACCUGCCUUGUAUAGAUAAGUGGCUCCUAGGGCAUGCCUCAUACCCUCUCUGCGUAAGGGAUUUGUGAAUGUGAUGAUCUUCUUGUAGAUUACCAAAUGAGUAAAAAGUUCAUUUAUUGAUUAUACAAAUUUUUUAUCCUUUUCAUUUGUAUUGGUAUUCACCAGACUGCUCUAGGAUGAGCAAAAUACUCAUAGGUUUGGGUAACCAUGUUUACCCGUCCAUUUAAAGUUCACGGUUAUGGUUAUGGGUAACCAUUUAGACGAACAAACGGUUAUGAGUAUAACCGUUUAUUUUUGAAAUUUAAAUGGGCUGUUAUGGAUAUUACCGACUGUUAUAAUGGGUAUCUAUUGGUUAUGGGUAUUAUCCACGAUUAUACGGGUAUCCAUUUACCUAUUUAAUUUAAUAUAUAUAAAAAUAAAAAUAAAAUUAUCGCAGGGAUUUUGAGGGGUUUUAGAAGUAGCUCCUAUCGCAGGGAUUUUGAGGGAUUUUAGAAGUAGGCUCUCUCUCUCUCUCUCUCUCUCUCUCUCUCUCUCUCUCUCUCUCUCUCUCUCUCUCUCUCUCUCUCUCUCUCUCUCUCUCCCUCUCCCUCCUCUGGUCCUGACCCUCUCCUUCCCAGCUCCACUGCAGGGAUUUUAAUUAUCACAGGGAUUUUGGGUAUGCUAAAAUUCUAAGUACAGGUUCAUGGUGUAGGCUCCGGCCAUGAACUCUUUCUUGCAAAGUGCAAAUGCAAUAACAACAUAUAUAUAUAUAUAUAUAAAUACAAAUUACACAAUAUAAUUAAUCAAUUAAAAUACACACAAUCAUCCAGUUGAUCUGGUCACCAUGUCUGUAUGUGCUAUCAAUAGAACAUUUGUGACUUGCCAUCUUGAUAGUUGAUACGAUGAUAUAUCACUUUGUGAAUAUGAUCUCGUAAACUAUCAUUUCAAUUAUUGAAAUUGUAUGAGGACUUGAAUGAUUAAAAUAUAGAAAUGCAUGCUAAAAUGUACCUAUAACGGUGCUUAAUUGUCAGAAAACGAAAAUUAUGAUAAAUUUUUCUUUUGUAAUUUUCAAGUUGUUAGAAAAAAAACAUGUAGACGGAUGAAAAAGGGUAAAUGGGUAAAAAAAAAGAAGGAUAAAUAGGUUCAAAAACGGGUAAUUGGUUAUGGUUAUGGUUAAAUGGGUAAAUGGUUAUGGUUAAAUAGGUACAUGGUUAUGGGUAUGGAUAACCAUUUAUAAACGGUUAUGGUUAUGGGUAUAACCGUUUAUGCAAUUAUCUAACAGAUAAAUGGUUAUGCGGGUAUGAAUAUAAACGGUUAUGGGUAAAUAACUACAGUUACCUACCCGCCAUAAUCGUUGCUCAUCCCUAGAUUGCUCCAGUAGCUGCAGGUUGGUUCAUUGGAACUGAUUAUUUUGGUUUUGGCACAAUCUGAUAUUUAAUGUGGUAGUAUGUGAUACUAAUAACACACUAUUUUUGAAACCGAAAACCAAAAUAAUUCACACUAUUUCUAGAACUACAACGAAAUAACCCUCACUAUUUCUGAAACUGAAUCAAAAUAAUCAUUGGAAACUACAAUAAAAUAACCCCCACUAUUUUUGAUACUUGUUGUAUUGAUGGUUUUGUUGGGUUUUUAGUUCUUUGAUGAUUUUUUAUUGUAAAUGGCUUCUCAUCAGAAAUUAUUAAACACCGGAUUUGCUAUUUUGGUUGCGUAGCUAUGCAGUUGCUCUCUCCAAUCCAUCUAUCAGUCCACUUGAUUGCUUGGAAUAAUUUGAAGGUAGUUAAUUAAAUUACUUUGCUUCUUUUUCGAUCGACUAUAUAUAUUAGUGCUAGUUGCCUUGGUUAAGACUUUGAACCAGGGUUGGAUGAAGUGAUGGAGGGAGGCAGACAAUGGUGACAUACGGUGGGGAUGGGCGGAGGGGUCGGAUGACGGGUCGUGGACUAAGAAAACGGUGCCCAUUAGUGCUCCCUUGCCUAAGACUUUAAGGGCCCUGACAGUCACCAGCGAGAUCGAGCUCCGGCGAGGUUGGAUGGUGAAUGCGGGGAUAUGGAAAAUGCAGAAAGUGAUUUAAAUUUUUUUUUAUUAUUAAUAUAAUUCUUGUCGAUUUUAUCCGACAGGAAAUGCUUUUAUUUGUUCAUUAGUAAUUUAUUCCUGUCGGUUUUAUCCGACAUGAAAUGGUUUUAUUUGUGCAUUUUUAAUUAAUUUCUGUCGAAUGGUUUAAUCAUUUUCUGUCGGUUUUAGCCGACAAAAAUAAUUUAUUUAUCCGACAUAAUUUCUGUCGAUUUUAGAGUAUUUUCUGUCGGAAAAUUAAUUUCCUGACGCAGGCAAUUCUGUCACUUAUUAUAUCCGCCACUGCAUCCAUUUUCUGUCAGAUUUUACUUAAAAUUCGACAUAAAUAUAUGUUUUUUGUCGGUUUUCAAAACGUCAUUAAUAACUGGUUUCCUAGUAGUGUCAGUUGGGCAUGGAACCGUUAAUUGUACAUCUCAAAUUUCACUUUCUUUGUAACCAUAAUUUCUGACAUUAAAGGAAAAACUGUACAAAUCAUUCUCACCACAUCCAGAAUUAGCCUACAAAUAACUCCAUAUUACACCGAUAAGUGUACCAGGGAUGGCCGUAAAUCCCAUCAUCCACUUUAGGAGAUUUUUUCUUAAACGACCAUUGGGGCAUAAUAUUUAAUUAUCACAUGGAAACAACUUUUUUUAUAAAGGAAAACUAAUGAAAAAGUCUUGAAAACUUUGAGUUUUAACGAUAAGGACAAAAUAAAGAGUAAAGUGAAUAGUAUAAGGAUUGACUUUUUAGUGUAAAAAUAUGGUUUUUCGUUAAAGUGAACAGUACCGGGAGUUUUUUGUUAAAGUUCUCUUUUUAUAAAGCAAGGGUAAGUUGCGUCCGUUAGAUAUUCACCUCGACCUUCGUAAAGCGAUGAACCUUGUUGGCUAAUUAAGCAUCAUAAUGAGCUAAUAAUAAUAUGGUUUAAAUUCACCUUCGGUGAGAAUCGAACAUAAGACCUCUCAAUUACAAAUGAAGAGGAAUACCACUAGACCGUAAUACUAAGUAACAAUUUUUGAGCAAUAUUAAACAUACUACAAUGUGUGUGUAUAUAUAUAUAUUAACAAACGAUAUUAUUUAUACUAAAGGGAGGGGUUAGACUUAACCUCAUAAUAAGCUAGCAAUAAUGUGGUUUAAAUUCUCAUUUAUCAAGAAUUGAACCUAUGACCUCUCAAUUACAAGUGAAAAAGAUUACCACUAAUUAUUCGGAUAUUAAAUAUACAAUGCACUUGUCCUAAAUUAAUUAAUAUAAGAGACCUUUUGAUAUAAUUGAUAAAAAAAAAAAAAAAGGUAGCCGAUCUGCGACGAUUCCUUUAUCUCUUUCCCCUAUCUGUGAAAUCCCAACCCUAGCCCCAAUUUCUGAAACUCUCCAUCUCUCUCCUCCAUGCCCUUUCUAUCUGCUUUCUCGGUUACUCCUGUUGUGGUUCAUGAUGUUGUUCAAGCCAACGUGUCUUUGACAGCUGUGAGUGGAUCGAAAUUCAGAAAUCUCAUAUCUACUUUCUGAGUGGCUCGCCUACUACUAUAUUAAGUGGGUCCUACAUAUAUUUUUAUUAGAAAAUUAGAUUUUAAUCCCUAAAUAAGAAGAAGUUUAGAAAAAUGUUUUAUACAAGAUUAAAAAUUGAUUUUAGUCCCUAGACUCUAUUUAAUGCCAACAAUUGUUUUUAAUGUCUCUUUUUUUAUUUAUAAUUUUAUGAAUUUAAAUUUUAUGAAAAUAUGAUAAAUUUUAAUUCUCAUUAUGGUAAACAUCUUAUAUAAGAAAAUAUUUUCGUAGAAAUUUUUCGGUACACUUAUGUUUUUGCAUAUUUUCUUAUCUGCCACUAAUUCAUUACAAUAUAUUUAGGUACGAACAUUUCGGUACACUGGGUUAGUAUAAUAUGUUUAGGUACAUACAUUUCAGUACACUAGUUUAGUAUAAUGUAUUUAGGUAUCAACAUUUCGGUACACUAGUUUAGUAUCAUAUAGUUAGGUACAAAAUUUUUGGUACACUUAUGUUUUUAUGUCACAUCCCGGCCCGAGUCCUCACCACAUCCCAAGCUCGACUUCACCGUAGCACUAUAUUGUCCACUUUGGGCAUCGACCAUACCCUUACGGUUUUGUCUCUGGGAACUCACACGAGAACUUUCCAAUGGGUCACCUAUCAUGGGAUUACUCUCGCGCGAACUCGCUUAACUUCGAAGUUCCAAUGGAACCCGAAGUCAGUGAGCUCCCAAAAGGUCUCAGGUAGAGAUGAGAAUAUAUAUAUAAGGCAUAGAUAAUCCACUCCCCUGGGCGAUGUGGGAUCUUACAAUCCACCCCCUUAGGGGCCCGACGUCCUCUUCGGCACACUUCCAGCCAAAGAUUGGCUCUGAUACCAAAUUGUCACAUCCCGGCCCAGGCCCCCACCACAUCCCAGAUUCGACUCCACCGUAGCACGAUAUUGUCUUCUUUGGGCCCCAACCACAUCAUCACGAUUUUGUUUUUGGGAGCUCACAUGAGAACUUCCAGUGGGUCACCCAUCAUGGGAUUGCUCUCAAGCAAACUCGCUUAACUUCAGAGUUUCUAUGGAACUCGAAGCCAGUGAGCUCCCAAAAGGUCUUGUGCUAGGUAGAGAUAAGAAUAUACAUAUAAGGCAUAGAUGAUCCACUCCCCUGAGUGAUGUGGGAUCUCACAUUUUACAUAUUUUCUUAUGUGUCACUAAUUCACUACAAUAUGUUUAGGUACGAGCAAUUCAGUAUACUAAUUUAGUAAAAUGUAUUAUGAUACAGACAUUUAGGUACACUAAUUAGAUAAGGUUAAAUACAAUUAAUGAAUUAAAAUGUGUAUAAUAAUAAAUUAAAAAAUUCAAUGUAAUAACAUUAAAUAAAGAAAAUUGUUAUUAGCACUCAAAAAAUCUCAUUCUAUACUACUUACAAAUGUAUUUAUCUUUCUAAUUAUGAAAGUUUGAAGUACCAAAUGAGAUUUUAGGAUGCUAAUAAUAAUUCCUUAAAUAAAUUAUCUAUUAUAUACAAAAACAAAAAUAUAAUAUGAAUUUGAAUUAGGUACACAUUAAGGGAUUAAAACCAAUAUUCAAUCUAAUACCAUAAUUUUAUUAAAUUUUAAUCUUCUUGAAAAUUUAAAGUUCAUAAACCCCUAUUUUUAUUCCUCCAAUGUUAGCAAACACUUCAAUCACUGGAAGAAGUGCAAUUCCAAUUUCUUACAUUCAAUUCCCCUUACGUAAACACGUUAUUAAUCAGGUCAACAUGCAAGGAGGAGGGAGAGUUUGAAAAGAAAAAAAAGGGACGGAAAAAAGAAAUGGGACAGAAAAAAUAGAGAGAAAAUGUCUUGAUGGAAAGAAGAAAAAAGAAAAAAAAACAAAGAGAAAGAGGAGAGAGAGAGAGAGAGUCUGAUUGAAGGAAGAAAAAUAAGAGAAAAAGAAGAGAAAAAAAAAAGGGAAAGGAAGAAAAGGGAAAGGAAGAGAGAGACAUAUGUAGAGAAGAAAAAGAGAGAAGGAAGAGAGAACAGGACCGAAAAAAAAAAAGAGAAAGGGACGGAAAAAAAAAGCAAAGAAAAAGGAGAGAAAAAGAGAGGGAAGAGAGGAGGGGACCAGAAAAAACAGAGAAAAGACGGAAAAAAAAAAGCAAAGAAAAAGGAGAGAGAAUCUGCUGGAAAGAAGAAAAAGAAGAGAUAAAAAUGAGAAAAAGGGGCGGACAAAAACAAAGAGAAAGGAAGCAAGAGAGAGAGAGAGAAUGAAGGAAAGAAGAAAAAGAAGAGAGAAGGACGAAAGAAAGGGAGGGGAAAAAGAGUUUGAUGGAAAGAAGGAAAAAAAAGAUGAGGAAGAGAGAAGGGGACGGGAAAAAAACAAAGAGAAAGGAAGAGAGAGUUUGAUGGAAUAAGAAAAAGAAGACAGAAGGAAGAGAGAAAGGACGGAAAAAAUGGGGAAAGGACGAGAGCAUGAUGGAAAGAAGAAAAAGAAGAGCUACGGUGCAUGGAAAAAAGAAAAAAACCAAAGAGAAAGAUGAGAGAGAGAGAGAGAGUCUGAUGGAAGGAAGAAAAAGAAGAGAAAAAGAGACAUAUGUAGAGAAGAAAAAGAGAGAAAGAAGAGAGAACAAAAAGAAGAGAAAAAGAGACAUAUGUAGAGAAGAAAAAGAGAGAAGGAAGAGAGAACAGGACCGAAAAAAAAAGGAUCGGAAAAAAAAAAGGAAAACUAAUAAAAAGGGAUUGAAAAUUUUGAGUUUUAAUGAUAAAGAUAAAAUAAAGGGUAAAUUGAAUAGUAUCAAGAUUGACUUUUUAGUGUAAAAAUGUGGUUUUUCGUUAAAGUGUAAAAAAAAAAGAACGGAAAAAAAAGGCAAAGAAAAAGGAGAGAGAAAAAGAGAGGGAAGAGAGAAGGGGACCAGAAAAAACAGAGAGAAAAGACGGAAAAAAAAAGCAAAGAAAAAGGAGAGAGAGAAUCUGCUGGAAAGAAGAAAAAGAAGAGAUAAGAAUGAGAAAAAGGGGCGGACAAAAACAAAGAGAAAGGAAGCAAGAGAGAGAGAGAGAGAGUGAAGGAAAGAAGAAAAAGAAGAGAGAAGGACGAAAGAAAGGGAGGGGAAAAAGAGAGAGAGAGUUUGAUGGAAAGAAGGAAAAAAAAAAGAUGAAGAAGAGAGAAGGGGACGGGUAAAAAACGAAGAGAAAGGAAGAGAGAGUUUGAUGGAAUAAGAAAAGAAGAGAGAAAGGACGGAAAAAAUGGGGGAAAGGACGAGAGCAUUAUGGAAAGAAGAAAAAGAAGAGCUACGGUGCAUGGACAUGAUGGUAUUAUUCCUGUGUCGCAUUUUUUUGGUCAUAAAAUAAUUUCUUUUGUUAAUUUGACGUAUACUCGUAUCAUGUUCUGUCAUAAUUCUGUGUCCGCAACCAUGCAUCAUAAAAGAACAAAGAAGGAAGAUAAAGGGAUGGAGGAAGGAAGAGUGAGAGAGAGACAGAGAACCGCUGCAGUUGUUCAGAAAGUGGUGGGUUGAGUUUUUAUUUUUGUGAAAUGAUUAGUUAAUAAAAUCUUUGAGAUUUAACAAAGAUUUAAUAUUUAUUGUUGGAGAUGCUCGAGUCAUCAGAAAUGGACAAUACUUAGUACUGACUGUUGAGUACCCAAAAUAUUGACCUAAUGACAUGCCUAGAAAUAUUAAAACAUCUUUCAUUUAAAGCUCUCCCCAAACAUUUGUGGUCUUGUUAACCAAACACCUAACUUUCAUCCUGAGCUCAUAACCAAACACCCAUCUUCUUCCUAUUUGUUUGAGUAAAUUAUAGUUGUGAUCCCUAAACUAUGACUGAACUAUGGUACCUCAAUUAAAAAUUUAUUAGUUUUGGUUCUUUAAUUUGACAAAAGGUGUAACAUUGGUCAUUCCAUGCUAACUAUUAAGUUUUCUGUCAAAAUGAUGACAUGGUAGGCACAUGGAACCCAUGAUUAAUAUUAUAAUAUGAAAAUUUAAAACAUAGAAAAUUAAAAAAAAAAAAAUCCUUUAUCUCCUUCACUAGUAACAAUGACGCCAACACCAAACCUUGUACUUAAUUUUCUCUAUCCUACAAACCUCGUACCCAAUUCCCUCUUCAAAAUCCAAUCAGAACUUUAAUACCAAAACUCAUCGCAAGCAUCAUACCCACCGCUACAUUUGGUGCAGGAUUGGUUAUAGAAUGCGACUGGAAUGUUGGGGGUGGGACUACGAUGGUGAAGGGUCGGUUGUGGCGUGCGGUUGAGAGAGAUAAAAAAGUGAGUGUUGCGAAUUGGGGAAGAUAGGGCUGGACACGGGUUGGGCCGGGCCCGAUUUUGAAAGGAUCAGACUAGACUCAGGUGCAAAAGAGACUGGCGGGGUCGGAGAUAACAUAUUUUAAUAAAGGAACCGGACCUAACCCGGCCUGGUUGAAAUGAGCUGGGGCCACAAGUCCUUUUUUUUUUUUUUUUUUUUUUUUGCGAAACUGCCACCUUCUUCGACAUCUCCACCUCCCUCCUCCAAGGCUAUGCCAUCCUCGCAAUCCUUGCAGCAAAAAUGCAGAGAAAAUUAGCAAAACCCAGAUUGGGGGUUGGGGCUAAAAGCUAAAAAUGCAUGAUUUGUGGAAAACCUAGCUGGGAUUAAGAACUUGAAGAAGAAGAAGCAGAAUGUUUGGGGAGAGAGAGGGAGUCCCGACCCUCUACGUCACCUACGACCACAACAUCCAUUCUGCCAACCCUUUUAGCCGACGCCACGAGCGAGUCCCGAUCAAGCCCUUCUACAACUCAAUGAACUCACCCAUCGAUUUCGUCCCUGCUGUCAACUUCCUUGACGACCGCUACUUCUCUGACGUUGACGAAAAGAUUGAGGCAAGGAGGGAGACGUUGAGCGGUCAAGCUCCCCGAUUUGAGAGGAAGGAGAUUGAGAAUCGACAGGAGAGGAAUGGGAAAAUGUUACAAACAAGCCGGUCCGGGUACCUUUUUUUUUAUACUUCUUGAACCGGCCCACCCCUAAAAUUUCAAAGCCCCGCCCUGCCCUGCCUUGUUUCUCUUUUUAAAAAUUAAAAACCAGCCCGUAUCCUCCUCGAACUGUAAUUACCCGCCCCAAACUGUGAUUACCUGCCCCGACCCACGGUUCAUGUACCUAUUUGCCCACCCCUAGGGGAAGAUGGAAGUAAGGCGUGAGGUAUGGUGGGACAACACCCAUCUCGAACAUUUCUUUUUAUUUUUUAUGCCAAUAGUUUAAAGUGUUUUGUUUCAAUUCUUAUAAGUGAAUAAUGUGAAUGCAAAUUUUCGCCGUUUCUUUUUUUGACAAAAAUGCACUUAUAAAAUAAUAACACAUAAGAUUAAGACCAAAAGCCUCACGCGCUUAGGUAGGCCUGGCUGGUGACAAUGCUGCUUAGGAUGGGGCAACUGUAGAUGAAGUGCAGGAGGUUGAUGUUGCUGAGAGAGAUGCGGCUGCUAAAGAUGUCCAAGUUGUUGAGGAGUAGUCUUUCUAGAUAAACUUUAGGAUUUACUGUCUUUUCCUUUCCUUUCCUUGAACUCUGUUGGCCUUCGUGCCAGUUUACCAAUUUGCUAGAAAUUAAUAAACUGUUUUUCUUCGCUUUACUUCAUUCUCAUCUUUUUGCCUUGCUUCAAACUUUUGCCGUAAAAUGAACAAUUGAGCAAGCUGCUUUGAACAAAGCAGUUAAGCACAUCUCCCUUGCUUUAGGAGCAACGUCCCAUUCAUUGCUCAAUAGUUUGGUUGACAAGUGAGAUCUCGCGGAAAUGUAAAAAAUCACUACAUAAAGAUUGUCUGUUGCAAUCUCCAAUAGUGUCAUACAUGUAAUCAUGAUUGCUCUGAGCACUCAACGAAAGAAACAUUUAGGGAAAAUUAUGUGAUGAUGUAGUUGAACCAUGUCUUAUUUUGGCACCAAUAAUCUGAGAGAUAUUCUUUUGUUUCUACUAUACUCAAUUACUUGACUAAUUUUAUAACACUUUUUAGGUGACUAAUGAGUAAAUCUAUAUAUCUAGAGGGAACAACAAAUUUGCGAGUUUAAUAAUGUCAUAGACAGAACAAGAUAUGGUUAGAUGAAACGGCAAUUUGCUCGUGGAUCCAAUAUAUAACUCAUAUUAGUGAAAAGCUGACUGUGCCACGUGCGCUUAGGCAAGUGGCUCUAUUGGGAUUAGGAUCCUAGCCCGAUCAUUUUGUAGAGAUUCGGAUGAUCAAUCAAUUGUGUUUAUUCAUCGUACAUCGUGUAAUAAUAAAAUAUUUUAAAUUUUUUAUUUAAAAUUAAAUACAAACAAUAUUUAAUGAAACUGACCGCACAAUAUACGAUGAAUGAGCAUGAUUAAUUGAUCAUCUAGAUUUUCACAAAAAGAAUAUGAAGAGGAUCCUCAUCCCUCUUAUUUACCUUGUACUAGUCAGAAAAUCCGAGUCUAUUGGAAAUUGAGUUAUUUACUUGAAAAAAGAAGAAUGAAUUGAUUUAAUUUUUUUUUUUUUUUUUUUGUCAUUAGUUAAAUUUGGGGGUGGGGGGAUUCGAACCUUGGAUGAGGUGGGAGUUUUCUUGGCUCUAGUGCCACUGCACUAGGCCUCCAUCCUCGAUUUAAUUUUUAUUGACAUGCAUACUUUAUGGGGUCAAUAGUGAUGGAUGUACCGGUCAAUGGUAAGAGUCCACUUUACUUGGACAUCUUUGCUUUAUCCCUUGCUGGUCAAUGGUAAGAGUCCACUUUUUUUUUUAAACCAGUAAGAGUCCACUUCACUUGGACAUCUUUGCUUUGAGUGGAAGACCUUGAAUCGUUCGAUUUAUAAAGACUGGAUCGAAACCUCAUGGAAAGUUUGAAAAGAAUUACGAUCUAGGCAAAAAAAAAAAAAAAAAAAAAAAGAGUGAGAGAGAGAAAAAAAUUUACACUCAAGGCACAAUGGGUUGAAGAAGAAGACCUUAUUACUAAAACAAUCCAACACUUGCCAAUAGUUUUCUUUUUAGUAGUUUAUUUAUUUCCUCAUAUAAAUCAAUGUGUAAUCACCAUUAUCUUAUUUGAUUUUGAUUGAGGUAUGUAUUAAACUUGAGACGUAUUUCGACAUUCUAGAAGAGAUAUGACUAGACCAAUCUCUCUAGUUGGUAACGUCACUCAUCCUAAAGUGAUUGUUGUUCAAGAAAAAGUGAAUUUUCACUAAUAAUUCAUCAUUCCAAUAUCCACAUCGUGCAAUUAUCGCCCUCAAUAUGUAAAAGUACUCGGAAAAAAAAGAAAGAAGAAGAAUGCUACAAAAACAUAUCAAUUUGAAUGGGAAACUGAGUCUUCCCGGCCCUAGGAAGGGGUGGAUAAUCGUGGCUUGCCACUAGUUGUUUUUUUUUUUUUAAAGAAUGGGAAACUGAGAACCUAGAAACUUUGAAGGAUCAUAACUAAGCAAGCAUGGCAACAAUAUGUCUAUCGAAGCUAGUUAAGAACUGUGGUGUAAGAACUUGAGGAAAGAUUUUUGCAUAAAAGUUUUAUGGAAAAGUAAUGCAUAUGGCCAGGCCAGACAUUGGUUUCAAGUGAAAAACCAAGCAAUCCAACAAACCUCGAAUGUAAUUACGUAGUCGGACAAACACCUCGAGCUAUCGAGCACAUAUGGUACUUAGGUACAAUGGUUACACUUCUCAGGAGUCCUUAUUAACAUACAUAAGUGUGUGCGCACAUAACUAUCUAUAUAUCUAAGUAGAUAUGUUACUCUAAUUCAGCAAUAGCUUCUAACUGAAUGUUUAGAUUUCUUGCAGGUGUAGUUGCAUUUGUUCGUGCAGGACCUGUAGAUGCAAAAGGAUUGGGAGGCAUGGUUAAGUUUUCUCCUCCUUCCAGCAUUUGAACAACUUCUUUCAUGGAAGGACGACCCGCUGGAUGCCACUGGAUGCACCAGAGCCCUACAAUUGCGAGUUUCUUUGGAGUUUUACCAUCUCCUUCCUCCCCAAGAUGGAUUCGUAGGUCGUCUCCUUCUUCUAGGAGAUUAUAGAUCCAUUCUGGAUAGUAAAUUUCAGUUGGGAUUGCUGAGGUUGAAUCAAUAUUCUUCCUUCCCCCUACCAUCUCAAGCAGCAGCAUUCCAAAACUAUAGACGUCCGACUUAUAGGACACAUUUCCAAAGUUCCUGGAGAACACUUCAGGUGCAAUGUAGCCCAUAGUCCCUCUAGCUGUAGUCAUGGACACUAUGCUUUGAUCCUUAGAACACAACUUGGCCAAACCAAAAUCAGAAAUUUUUGGAGUGAAA
This 37568-nucleotide long non-coding RNA is filed under the name Malus domestica (apple). RNAcentral describes it as "long non-coding RNA (MDOM_LNC002113)". Lineage: Eukaryota; Viridiplantae; Streptophyta; Magnoliopsida; Rosales; Rosaceae. The record is from RNAcentral.